AAAAACUUAAUUUUUAGGUUUCCGUGUCUAAUGUUUGACCGUCCGUCUAUAUAUAAAAUUUUUGUAUAAUUAGUAUUUUCAUUAUUGUUAAAUGAUAAAACAUGAAUAAUACUUUAUACAUGGCUUACUUUUUAAAUUAUUUUAUAAUUUUUUAAAAUAAGACGAACAAUCAAACGUUAGACACGAAAACUCAGGAAUUAAG
Molecule: microRNA precursor, 202 nt
Organism: Oryza rufipogon (brownbeard rice)
Lineage: Eukaryota; Viridiplantae; Streptophyta; Magnoliopsida; Poales; Poaceae
Rfam family: MIR812 microRNA precursor family
Source: Rfam